UAAAAUCAAAACUCCUAUAUUAAUUACAGAGCAAUGAUAACACAACUUCCGCACAAGCCUACAAGCUUGCUCUACCUGAUAGAGCUUCUUGGUAGAAGUGAACACACCCCAGACAAAUCCACACAGCAUUUCCUACUGCCUAACAGUUGGAAUUCAGAACAAAGCUUGGCAUUAAAAGUGAGGCCAAGUUAGGCUAGCAACCCUGCUUAAGUCACACACGGGCCUUGGCCAUUGUAGGAACAGCGAGAUAAAUUACAAAAAUCCACACACACAAAUUAGACCCCAAACAUGAUCCCUACUUCAACACAGACUAGCUGAAAAGAACACCAUGAAGGUUAACCAAAAGGACAUGAAAAUGAAGUAACUGAAGAGAAUUUUUCCCUCUCGUCUCCAUCACAAUUAUCACUUCUAAAGGUGACAACCACUACCUGAAGGACUUGACAAAUUUCUCUGGCCACGUGACGAUCC
Molecule: long non-coding RNA, 468 nt
Filed under: Nicotiana benthamiana
Lineage: Eukaryota; Viridiplantae; Streptophyta; Magnoliopsida; Solanales; Solanaceae
Description: long non-coding RNA (NBEN_LNC017687)
Source: RNAcentral